GUGGGGAAUUUUGGACAAUGGGCGAAAGCCUGAUCCAGCCAUGCCGCGUGCAGGAUGAAGGCCUUCGGGUUGUAAACUGCUUUUGUACGGAACGAAAAGACUCCUUCUAAUAAAGGGGGUCCAUGACGGUACCGUAAGAAUAAGCACCGACUAACUACGUGCAAGCAGCCGCGGUAAUACGUAGGGUGCGAGCGUUAAUCGGAAUUACUGGGCGUAAAGCGUGCGCAGGCGGUUAUAUAAGACAGAUGUGAAAUCCCCGGGCUCAACCUGGGAACUGCAUUUGUGACUGUAUAGCUAGAGUACGGCAGAGGGGGAUGGAAUUCCGCGUGUAGCAGUGAAAUGCGUAGAUAUGCGGAGGAACACCGAUGGCGAAGGCAAUCCCCUGGGCCUGUACUGACGCUCAUGCACGAAAGCGUGGGGAGCAAACAGGAUUAGAAACCCCGGUAGUCC
This 450-nucleotide ribosomal RNA is filed under the name uncultured bacterium. Its description in RNAcentral is "bacterial SSU rRNA". It matches the Rfam family "Bacterial small subunit ribosomal RNA", at positions 354 to 796 of the family's 1533-position model. The record is from RNAcentral.